UACGGAGGAUGCGAGCGUUAUCCGGAUUUAUUGGGUUUAAAGGGUGCGUAGGCGGGACCUUAAGUCAGCGGUAAAAUUGCGGUGCUCAACGCCGUAGAGCCGUUGAAACUGGGGAUCUAGAGUGUGCGAGAGGUAUGCGGAAUGCGUGGUGUAGCGGUGAAAUGCAUAGAUAUCACGCAGAACCCCGAUUGCGAAGGCAGCAUACCGGUGCACAACUGACGCUCAGGCACGAAAGCGUGGGUAUCGAACAGG
RNAcentral lists this ribosomal RNA (252 nucleotides) under uncultured Bacteroidales bacterium. Its description in RNAcentral is "partial 16S ribosomal RNA". It matches the Rfam family "Bacterial small subunit ribosomal RNA", at positions 524 to 776 of the family's 1533-position model. The record is from RNAcentral. Lineage: Bacteria; Pseudomonadati; Bacteroidota; Bacteroidia; Bacteroidales.